AGUGAACGCUGGCGGUAGGCCUAACACAUGCAAGUCGAACGGCAGCACAGUAAGAGCUUGCUCUUACGGGUGGCGAGUGGCGGACGGGUGAGGAAUACAUCGGAAUCUACUUUUUCGUGGGGGAUAACGUAGGGAAACUUACGCUAAUACCGCAUACGACCUACGGGUGAAAGCAGGGGAUCUUCGGACCUUGCGCGAUUGAAUGAGCCGAUGUCGGAUUAGCUAGUUGGCGGGGCAAAGGCCCACCAAGGCGACGAUCCGUAGCUGGUCUGAGAGGAUGAUCAGCCACACUGGAACUGAGACACGGUCCAGACUCCUACGGGAGGCAGCAGUGGGGAAUAUUGGACAAUGGGCGCAAGCCUGAUCCAGCCAUACCGCGUGGGUGAAGAAGGCCUUCGGGUUGUAAAGCCCUUUUGUUGGGAAAGAAAAGCAGCAGGUUAAUACCCCGCCGUUCUGACGGUACCCAAAGAAUAAGCACCGGCUAACUUCGUG
RNAcentral lists this ribosomal RNA (492 nucleotides) under uncultured bacterium. Its description in RNAcentral is "partial 16S ribosomal RNA". It matches the Rfam family "Bacterial small subunit ribosomal RNA", at positions 29 to 507 of the family's 1533-position model. The record is from RNAcentral.